GAGAAUUGUGUCGAAAAUAUGGUUUAAACGUCACGCUCCGAGCAAUAUUUAAAGUAAUCUUCGCCAUUGAAUUGCGGUUCGUUAUUCGACUUCAUCGCCCUUGAGAAACCCUCCCUGUCAAAAAACAGGAAGUGGGUUAUAUCUGUGGUAUAACCGCAAGGGUGACGUAUCGUUGAUUUAGUGAGCAUUUGUUUCUGGUUGCAUCUGAAUCAAUUCGGAAUGAAUGAAUAAAUGAAUAUUUGGGGGACUUCGAAAACGAGAGCGUUACGUUGGAGGCACAAUAUCCAGCAAAAGGAACAAUCACACAAAAGUUGUAUAAUAUAAGUUAGCACAGUUAGCACAAAUCGAGACCGCAUAGCCGAUAAGCGGAAUAUAAACAUCCGAAUCACCAUCCAGCUGCAUCAUCAUCAACAAUCACAACUUAUCGGACCACCCGGAGACCAAGAAUAAACAAUCAACCGUUCACAAGAAUCGAUAUCAGCAUCGCGCUGAUGCCAUGAAUAAACAUUCCCACAUUCAAGAUGUUGUAAACACAAAUCAUUGAUAUAUAUAAGCAGGGACAAUGAAUGUAAGGUUAGAGUUAAAUUUGAAUAGUGAAUAGAUGCACAUCGUGUGCUCGAAAAGAAGAAAUUGUUUUUUUUAAGUAAAGUUUAGUGUUUAAGAUUAACUGGCGCCCGAAUAGGGACCUUGCCAAGUGAAAGUAGUGCCAAGGAAGUGAGACAAGUGAAGUGAUAGGGUGAACGAUAGAGUUACCACCCACACUAUCCGAAAAAAAUAUCCGAACGCACGAAGCCUCUCUGGACCGCAGGACCUCUGCAGCCGUGUGGAAGAGCCCCUCAGUAGCCACAACAGUUAGGAGCUCGCUUGUGGACCAAACAGGAAUUUGCCGCCACACUGGGAAGGAAGGAAGACACUUCAAGGAUCCCGACCAACCAGUCUCGCUGAACCCGCCAGCGGUUGGAUAAAUCAAAAGGUGAUAAUAGGACAUCGAGACAAAAGUACUGGACACGCGCACCGAAGCUUUUCGAGACGUCACUGAAAGAGGAUUGACAUCCGAAAGUACGUUGUUCCGCAGUCUUGUGGUGUUCCCACAAGAUGUUCAGGAUUUACAUACGUAAACAAAAGGCCAACAUAACAGUCCACUUCGACAAAAACGCUGAGACCAUCCUAAUAAAUGAGCCACCAAAAACAACGGAAAUUAAACCUGACACCAACAACACAGAGGAAUUAUCAGACGAAAGAAAAAAACAACUUCAAGCAUUCUUUGAUGCACCAACACCA
This is a long non-coding RNA of Toxorhynchites rutilus septentrionalis, 1281 nucleotides long. RefSeq lists it as uncharacterized. The transcript has 2 exons. The record is from RefSeq and is a predicted model, not a curated record. NCBI's taxonomy places the organism in Eukaryota, Metazoa, Arthropoda, Insecta, Diptera, Culicidae.